Molecule: non-coding RNA, 155 nt
Filed under: Salinarimonadaceae bacterium
Lineage: Bacteria; Pseudomonadati; Pseudomonadota; Alphaproteobacteria; Hyphomicrobiales; Salinarimonadaceae
Description: 6S RNA
Rfam family: 6S / SsrS RNA
About the family: E. coli 6S RNA was the first non coding RNA to be sequenced, but its function was unknown until recently.
Source: RNAcentral
GCGGGGCUGUGGGGCGCGUCCGGAGACUUUUCCUCGGGGCCUUACGAUCCUCAAGGGAGCUGUCCCUGACCCGGUCUGCGGACCGGGACACACGGCGCCCACCUACGCUGUAGGUUUCCCGGGAUCGUAUCUCCAACGGCCAUCGCGGCUCCGCG